Molecule: ribosomal RNA, 497 nt
Filed under: uncultured bacterium
Lineage: Bacteria
Description: partial 16S ribosomal RNA
Rfam family: Bacterial small subunit ribosomal RNA
Source: RNAcentral
GAUGAACGCUGGCGGCGUGCCUAAUACAUGCAAGUCGAGCGAACGGACGAGAAGCUUGCUUCUCUGAUGUUAGCGGCGGACGGGUGAGUAACACGUGGUUAACCUACCUAUAAGACUGGGAUAACUUCGGGAAACCGGAGCUAAUACCGGAUAAUAUUUUGAACCGCAUGGUUCAAAAGUGAAAGACGGUCUUGCUGUCACUUAUAGAUGGAUCCGCGCUGCAUUAGCUAGUUGGUAAGGUAACGGCUUACCAAGGCAACGAUGCAUAGCCGACCUGAGAGGGUGAUCGGCCACACUGGAACUGAGACACGGUCCAGACUCCUACGGGAGGCAGCAGUAGGGAAUCUUCCGCAAUGGGCGGAAGCCUGACGGAGCAACGCCGCGUGAGUGAUGAAGGUCUUCGGAUCGUAAAACUCUGUUAUUAGGGAAGAACAUAUGUGUAAGUAACUGUGCACAUCUUGACGGUACCUAAUCAGAAAGCCACGGCUAACUACGUG